AGUAACGCGUGGGUAACCGUGCCUCAUACGAGGGGAUAACAGUUAGAAAUGACUGCUAAUACCGCAUAAGCGCACAGUGCUGCAUGGCACAGUGUGAAAAACUCCGGUGGUAUGAGAUAGACCCGCGUCUGAUUAGCUAGUUGGUGGGGUAACGGCCUACCAAGGCGACGAUCAGUAGCCGGCCUGAGAGGGUGAACGGCCACAUUGGGACUGAGACACGGCCCAA
RNAcentral lists this ribosomal RNA (226 nucleotides) under uncultured bacterium. RNAcentral describes it as "partial 16S ribosomal RNA". It matches the Rfam family "Bacterial small subunit ribosomal RNA", at positions 109 to 334 of the family's 1533-position model. The record is from RNAcentral.